This 520-nucleotide ribosomal RNA is filed under the name uncultured bacterium. Its description in RNAcentral is "bacterial SSU rRNA". It matches the Rfam family "Bacterial small subunit ribosomal RNA", at positions 777 to 1297 of the family's 1533-position model. The record is from RNAcentral.
AAUAGAACCCGGGUAGUCACGCCGUAAACGAUGAGUGCUAAGUGUUAGAGGGUUUCCGCCCUUUAGUGCUGCAGCUAACGCAUUAAGCACUCCGCCUGGGGAGUACGGCCGCAAGGCUGAAACUCAAAGGAAUUGACGGGGGCCCGCACAAGCGGUGGAGCAUGUGGUUUAAUUCGAAGCAACGCGAAGAACCUUACCAGGUCUUGACAUCCUCUGCCAACCCUAGAGAUAGGGCGUUCCCCUUCGGGGGACAGAGUGACAGGUGGUGCAUGGUUGUCGUCAGCUCGUGUCGUGAGAUGUUGGGUUAAGUCCCGCAACGAGCGCAACCCUUGAUCUUAGUUGCCAGCAUUCAGUUGGGCACUCUAAGGUGACUGCCGGUGACAAACCGGAGGAAGGUGGGGAUGACGUCAAAUCAUCAUGCCCCUUAUGACCUGGGCUACACACGUGCUACAAUGGAUGGUACAAAGAGCUGCGAACCCGCGAGGGUAAGCGAAUCUCAUAAAGCCAUUCUCAGUUCGGA